RNAcentral lists this ribosomal RNA (483 nucleotides) under uncultured bacterium. RNAcentral describes it as "partial 16S ribosomal RNA". It matches the Rfam family "Bacterial small subunit ribosomal RNA", at positions 355 to 829 of the family's 1533-position model. The record is from RNAcentral.
UGGGGAAUAUUGCACAAUGGGCGCAAGCCUGAUGCAGCCAUGCCGCGUGUGUGAAGAAGGCCUUCGGGUUGUAAAGCACUUUCAGCGAGGAGGAAGGUGGUGAACUUAAUACGUUCAUCAAUUGACGUUACUCGCAGAAGAAGCACCGGCUAACUCCGUGCCAGCAGCCGCGGUAAUACGGAGGGUGCAAGCGUUAAUCGGAAUUACUGGGCGUAAAGCGCACGCAGGCGGUUUGUUAAGUCAGAUGUGAAAUCCCCGGGCUCAACCUGGGAACUGCAUUUGAAACUGGCAAGCCAGAGUCUCGUAGAGGGGGGUAGAAUUCCAGGUGUAGCGGUGAAAUGCGUAGAGAUCUGGAGGAAUACCGGUGGCGAAAGGCGGCCCCCUGGACGAAGACUGACGCUCAGGUGCGAAAGCGUGGGGAGCAAACAGAUUAGAUACCCUGGUAGUCCACGCUGUAAAACGAUGUCGAUUUUGGAGGUUGUG